AUGCUGAGGAAGGGGGGGGGGGCAGUUCCCCGUCUCUCUUCCUCCCUCUCCCCUCUCCCUUCCUUCCUUGUCUUCUCUCUCUUCCUUUCCAGCCCCCUGCACACAGAGAUAGCUCGCUCGCUCGCUCUCUCUCUCUCUCAACCUGCUGCCUCCAGAGAGGUGGGGAGGCCCCUCCCCCUGUUCCUCCCCUCCCUGCCCCCCCCUGGGGCCCACACUGCCGCCCCCACACCGGCAGGCAGGCAGCGGGUUACUUUCCCGGGGCAGCAUGCGCGGUGUUCCUGGGCAGGGCUACCCAAGGUGUCCCGGGCCCCUUCCCCGGGGAGGGGAGGAGGAGGGGGAAGGCUCGGCUAGUCCAGCCCCCACUCCUGCCCUCAGUGACAGAGCAUCCCUAAGCGCGUGGCCGGAUCUGGGGGCGUCCGGCGCCUCCACCCGUUGCCAGGGCUUCCCCCCUCCCUCUAGCCCAGCAGGACCCUGGGCUCCCCCCCUCGGUCUCCCACCCCCCGCCCCCGAGCCUUUGUCUGGGGCGCGAAGCCCGAACUCAAGCGCCCUCGGUGCCAGGGGCCGCUCAUCUGAGCCCGGGAGCCUGGGGAGUCUCUAAGCAACCCACAAGUGCCCUGCUCGGGCUCCGGGCUCCGGUUACCACCUGGCAGCGCCCCCGACGUCCCGGGACCGGGGCCGGAGCCAGCCCCAAGGAGGCUGGCAAUGCUGCCCCUUCCCCCACGGGGCCGGGAGAUCGGGGGUCCAGGAGCAGUGCAGCUCCCCCUCCCCCACCCUCAGUCUGCUCCGCUCCCCGCGGGCCCGGGACACGCGCGCACACGCACCCGCACACACCCACGCACCCUCUACCCCCACCCGAGAGCAGCCUAGGGUUACAUUACGGGGAGGGGGCGGCGCUGCUCCGACUUUGUCCCGCCCGCCGUCCCGGUCCGCAAAGCCGCUGCUGCCUGGCUCCCGCUGGCCGCUGACCGCGCCGCUCCCUGGCCGGGCUGCCCGCCGUGCACUGGGCGGCCUCAGCCGGGACGGGGAGGCGGGGCCCAGCGCCCACCUGCUCUCGUUGCUCCUACCCGGGUGGCGGCCGCUCCCCGCGGGCCCGGGAAGUGUCAGGCGGCCGCUGGAGGCACUCACUCCCUCGUCGUGCCCGGCGACCUUGGCCCAGAACGUCCGUCUCUCCGCUGGUUGAGGACUUAAGUGCGGGCCGGCCAGGCGUCCACCCCUCUGGGAACCAGCCGUCUCCGAGCAUCGGGCCCCGCUGGCCACUGGCUCUUCCCGAGCAGCCGGCUCUAGACAUCCCCUCCAACCCCGGGAGCCCACAUCUAGCCUCCGAGAUUCCCCCACUUGCCCGGACACCCUCUUUCCCCCUCCCUCCCCUCACAGAGAAAGAAAACAACGUGGCCAAGGUCACUGGACUCUAUACGGAGUGCCCUUCCUACUGUACCAUCUAGGAAUGAGCCUCGGACCCAGAGCCGGGACCGUGACGUUGUCUCCCUCCCCUGGUCCGUCCCACCACCCAGAAGGGGGAUCGCAGAAAUCAUCAAAACAACGACUGACCCACCUGAUACAUCUCUGUGUCCAUUCACACAUGCAUACAUAAGUCUUCAAGUUUAUCGGCCCAGGAGAAUGGGUGAUCUGGACGCUGCCUUUUGGAAGAAUGGGCCGGCAGUCCAGGAAAGACCUAGCAGUGCUACCCGAGCUUGACUUCCAAGGACCGCAUUCCCACCCCGCCCCCAAACUCCUCCUUCCCAUCACCCCAUUCUAGAGCAGCUGCUCUCACAAUCAAGUCCAUUGACCACUUGUGGGUCCAGGGUCUUUGCAGCUGGCCAGGGGCCAGAUCUCUUUAACUGCGAUUACGCACAACAGGACAAAUGUCUACACUUGUGUUUGGGUCUUGUGUUAGAGGUGGGGUCUCUGGUGCCUCCCUAGAAAUGCAGCCCUUCCGCCUUUUAAUACAUCCAGGGGUGUGGAUGUAUUUUUGGCAGUGGUGAGGCCGGCCCAGGAGGACUUUUUCCUCUUGGUCUUGGCAGUAGUCCAAGAACCAUUGUUUAGGGAGGAGGACUGUGUGUGUCCAUGGGAGGAGCCCGGUCCGGGGUCCCCAAACAAGAAACGGAGCCUAGUGCCAGGACUUUAUAGGGAAGGGCUUCGAGGGAAGUGGGCAGAGGCAGGAAAACACCUCUGAAAGCCCUGAGAGUCCUCAUCAAUCCAAUGGCUUGCCAGGAUCUCCAAGGACCAGUGAUGAAGGCUGCUGCUCAUCACCUGCCAAAGAGAUGCCCAGAAGGAGCCCCACGUUUCUGGACAAGCUCAAAGAAAGAAUGUAGUUUGCUUGGCUAUAUUUGGGGGUGAAGAGAAGUGGGAGAAGGAAAUAUUUGUUCAUAGAAAAAAAUAAAAUUUAAUUAAAAAAAUAAACA
Long non-coding RNA from Monodelphis domestica (gray short-tailed opossum), 2402 nucleotides. The record is from Ensembl. NCBI's taxonomy places the organism in Eukaryota, Metazoa, Chordata, Mammalia, Didelphimorphia, Didelphidae.